This 450-nucleotide ribosomal RNA is filed under the name uncultured bacterium. RNAcentral's name for it is "bacterial SSU rRNA". It matches the Rfam family "Bacterial small subunit ribosomal RNA", at positions 329 to 793 of the family's 1533-position model. The record is from RNAcentral.
UUCCAGACUCCUACGGGAGGCAGCGGGGGGGAAUAUUGGACAAUGGGGGGAACCCUGAUCCAGCGACGCCGCGUGAGUGAAGAAGUAUUUCGGUAUGUAAAGCUCUAUCAGCAGGGAAGAAAGAAAUGACGGUACCUGACUAAGAAGCCCCGGCUAACUACGUGCCAGCAGCCGCGGUAAUACGUAGGGGGCGAGCGUUAUCCGGAUUCACUGGGUGUAAAGGGAGCGUAGACGGCCAUGCAAGCCAGGGGUGAAAGCCCGGGGCCCAACCCCGGGACUGCCCUUGGAACUGCAUGGCUGGAGUGCGGGAGGGGCAGGCGGAAUUCCUGGUGUAGCGGUGAAAUGCGUAGAUAUCAGGAGGAACACCGGCGGCGAAGGCGGCCUGCUGGACCGUGACUGACGUUGAGGCUCGAGAGCGUGGGGAGCAAACAGGAUUAGAUACCCUAGUAC